UUUCCGUAGGUGAACCUGCGGAAGGAUCAUUAUUGUAUAACCGAGCUUCGAGGCCUGACCCUGACCCGAUAUCUCGUGCACGCCCUAGUGCCCUCACGCACACCCAGCCCACCCCUAUCUGCACCACCUCGUUGGUCCCCCUCGGGCCUGUCCGGAGGGGGGCUUACGUUUUCACACAAACUUUUUAUGCAGUGUAGAAUGAAUUUUUUGUUUUUUCGAUUACGGAAUCAAUACAACUUUCAACAACGGAUCACUUGGCCUCCCCAUCGACGAAGAACG
This 279-nucleotide unclassified non-coding RNA is filed under the name plant metagenome. Its description in RNAcentral is "partial contains small subunit ribosomal RNA, internal transcribed spacer 1, and 5.8S ribosomal RNA". The record is from RNAcentral.